GACGAACGCUGGCGGCGUGCCUAAUACAUGCAAGUAGAACGCACAGUUUAUACCGUAGCUUGCUACACCAUAGACUGUGAGUUGCGAACGGGUGAGUAACGCGUAGGUAACCUGCCUGGUAGCGGGGGAUAACUAUUGGAAACGAUAGCUAAUACCGCAUAAUAUUAAUUAUUGCAUGAUAAUUAAUUGAAAGGUGCAAUUGCACCACUACCAGAUGGACCUGCGUUGUAUUAGCUAGUAGGUGAGGUAACGGCUCACCUAGGCGACGAUACAUAGCCGACCUGAGGGGGUGAUCGGCCACACUGGGACUGAGACACGGCCCAGACUCCUACGGGAGGCAGCAGUAGGGAAUCUUCGGCAAUGGACGAAAGUCUGACCGAGCAACGCCGCGUGAGUGAAGAAGGUUUUCGGAUCGUAAAGCUCUGUUGUAAGAGAAGAACGGGUGUGAGAGUGGAAAGUUCACACUGUGACGGUAUCUUACCAGAAAGGGACGGCUAACUACGUG
This 505-nucleotide ribosomal RNA is filed under the name uncultured bacterium. RNAcentral's name for it is "partial 16S ribosomal RNA". It matches the Rfam family "Bacterial small subunit ribosomal RNA", at positions 28 to 507 of the family's 1533-position model. The record is from RNAcentral.